RNAcentral lists this long non-coding RNA (833 nucleotides) under Fukomys damarensis (Damara mole-rat). RNAcentral's name for it is "lncRNA (ENSFDAG00000022416.1)". Lineage: Eukaryota; Metazoa; Chordata; Mammalia; Rodentia; Bathyergidae. The record is from RNAcentral.
CCACCCACUGCUCCUACGGGUGCAGCUGCCCAUCUCUGGGAUCCUCCCAGCCCCAAAUCCCCUGCCCCAUAAAAGGGGCCUAGCACAGGCUCUCAGAAAAGUCCCCGGAGGUCCUCGAGGAGCCCGGUGCCCAAAUCUGUCACCCUACAGAGGAGAGGACACAGCCCAGGAGGGGCAGCUCAGGCUACGGCCAGAGUGGACUCAGCCCAGCACACUGGUUGGAUCCUCGGGGCAGUGACCCUUUCCACCUGCCCAUUCAUCCUUAAGACUGAGAAACCGGCUGACUGGGCCCCACACGGGCCUAAAAGGAGGAGCCAAGGCCAGCCCGGAAUGGUGUCCUUUUUCUGUCUCCACAGCACCAGCACAGGGCCUGCAGGUAUGGUACGGGAGUGCCAAGGUCUCAAUGUGUCCCCCAAAGUGCCUGUGUUGGAAACUUGACCCCCAUAUUCUUACACUGAUGGCAUUUGGAGGUGCGGCCUUUGGGAAGUAAUUGGGGUGAGGUGAGGUUAUAAAGGUAGGGUCCCUCAGGUGGGAUUAGUGGCUAAGGGGAAGAGAGACCUGUGCUGGAAACCUUGCCCUGCCUGGCCACAUGACACCCUCUGCCACGUCAGGAUAGAGUAGAAGGCCCUCAGAAAGCAUAGGCCAGUGCCAGACUUUUGAAGUUCAUAGCCUCCAAAGCUGUGGCCAAAUAAACUUCUAUACUUUGCAAAUUAUUCAGUCCCAGGUAUUUUCUUAUAGCAACAGAAAACAGACUGAGACAAGGCCAUGGCAGGCACAGCACGACCUGACUUGGACCAAAGAUUAAGCCUGAUGAUACUUGUAUGGCACUCACC